RNAcentral lists this ribosomal RNA (460 nucleotides) under uncultured bacterium. Its description in RNAcentral is "partial 16S ribosomal RNA". It matches the Rfam family "Bacterial small subunit ribosomal RNA", at positions 338 to 795 of the family's 1533-position model. The record is from RNAcentral.
CCUACGGGAGGCAGCAGUGAGGAAUAUUGGUCAAUGGACGAGAGUCUGAACCAGCCAAGUAGCGUGAAGGAUGACUGCCCUAUGGGUUGUAAACUUCUUUUAUAUGGGAAUAAAACGUUCCACGUGUGGGAUUUUGUAUGUAUCAUAUGAAUAAGGAUCGGCUAACUCCGUGCCAGCAGCCGCGGUAAUACGGAGGAUCCGAGCGUUAUCCGGAUUUAUUGGGUUUAAAGGGAGCGUAGGUGGAUUGUUAAGUCAGUUGUGAAAGUUUGCGGCUCAACCGUAAAAUUGCAGUUGAAACUGGCAGUCUUGAGUACAGUAGAGGUGGGCGGAAUUCGUGGUGUAGCGGUGAAAUGCUUAGAUAUCACGAAGAACUCCGAUUGCGAAGGCAGUUCACUGGACUGCAACUGACACUGAGGCUCGAAAGUGUGGGUAUCAAACAGGAUUAGAUACCCCGGUAGUC